RNAcentral lists this ribosomal RNA (775 nucleotides) under uncultured Neocallimastigales. Its description in RNAcentral is "partial large subunit ribosomal RNA". It matches the Rfam family "Eukaryotic large subunit ribosomal RNA", at positions 22 to 644 of the family's 3401-position model. Lineage: Eukaryota; Fungi; Neocallimastigomycota; Neocallimastigomycetes; Neocallimastigales. The record is from RNAcentral.
UACACGCAUGACACACUGCAUAUCAAUAAGCGGAGGAAAAGAAACUAACAAGGAUUCCCUUAGUAACGGCGAGUGAAGCGGGAAGAGCUCAAAUUUGAAAUCUUCAAGGUUCUACCUUGACGAAUUGUAGUUUAUAGAAGUGUUUUCUGUUGGAGUUUUGGUAAAAGUUCUUUGGAAUAGGACAUCAUAGAGGGUGAGAAUCCCGUAUUUGGUCAUUCCUCCUAGCGUUGUGAUACACUUUCAACGAGUCGGAUUGUUUGGGAAUGCAGUCCAAAAUGGGUGGUAAAUUUCAUCUAAAGCUAAAUAUUGGCGAGAGACCGAUAGCGAACAAGUACCGUGAGGGAAAGAUGAAAAGAACUUUGAAAAGAGAGUUAAACAGUACGUGAAAUUGUCAAAAGGGAAGCGUUUGACACCAGUGUUGUUUAGUUGAAAAUCAAUUCAAUAAUUUUUGAUUUUAAGUAGUAUUGACUUCAUCAGCUUGCUGCUUUCUUUUCAGGAAUUAUUGAAUGCACUUUUCAGUUAACAAGUCGACAUCAAUUUCUUUUGUUGUAAAAGGGUAAGAGGAAGGUGGCUUGCGCUUCGGCUCAAGUGUUUAUAGCCUUUUACCUCUGCAAUCGGAGAGAUUGAGGUCUGCAGCGUAGACUCUUCGGGGUUAGAUACAUUUAUGCUAAGCUAUAGCCUUGUAUAGACAACUUGUUGACUAUGCUCAGUCAUGUAGCUUACUCGUAGAUGCUAUUUUACCUACGCUUAGGAUGUUGACUGAUAUGUAGUCGUA